RNAcentral lists this long non-coding RNA (2388 nucleotides) under Olea europaea subsp. europaea. The record is from RNAcentral. Lineage: Eukaryota; Viridiplantae; Streptophyta; Magnoliopsida; Lamiales; Oleaceae.
CCUACUUUCAACACCUUGGACGGAUCUCGGGGGUCGGCUGAGAAGCUCUCAAGUUCCUCUACAGGGGAUGCUUGAGGCUCAUGUUCCAUUAUGCGGGGGUCGAUCUCAUCAACGAUCAGCACCUCCUGAUUAAGCGGUGCGUCAAUCAUAUCAACAUCUUCUUGAUCAGUGGGAGCGUCACCUGGGACAUCCGCCAUGACCACAUCAGCCAUGAUCACGUGGACGUCCCGGGGCUCUACCUUCUUAAUGGAGCUUAGAUAGCACUCUCUCGAGCCUCUCUGGUCGCCUCUCACCGUUGCCACCCCAUUUUCUGUUGNAGAGCCUCAAUCUUCUCGGGAUUUGCUUCAAUUCCUCGCUGGUUGACCAUGUACCCCAAGAACUUGCCGGAAGCCACCCCAAAGGCACAUUUCAAGGGGUUGAGCCUCAUCCUGUACCUUCUCAGGAUUUGGAAGGUGUUGUUGAGAUGCGCUAUGUGGUUCUCUGCUUCUAAACUCUUCACCAGCAUGUCAUCCACGUAGACCUCCAUUGUCUUGCCAAUGAGGUCGGUAAACAUUUUGUUCACGAGUCUUUGGUAGGUUGCUCCGGCGUUUUUCAACCCGAAGGGCAUCAUUCUAUAGCAAUAGAGGCCUCGGUCCGUGAUGAAAGAGGUGUGCUCUUCAUCGGCCGGGUGCAUGGGGAUUUGGUUGUAGCCGGAGUAUGCAUCCAUGAAGCUCAACAACUCGUGCCCAGCCGUGGAGUCCACCAAUUGGUCAAUCCUUGGAAGCGGAAAGCUGUCUUUCGGGCAAGCUCUAUUGAGGUUGGUAAAGUCGAUGUAUACCCUCCAUUUGCCAUUGUGUUUCUUAACCAAGACCGGGUUGGAGACCCACCUCGGAUAGGUGGCCUCCCUAAUGAAGCCAUUUUGGAUGAGCUUCUAAACCUCUUCCUUUAGGGCCUCAUACCUCUCAGGGUUGAGGGCUCUCCUUUUUUGUCUAUGCGGGGCAACAUUAGGAUCAAUUUUCAAGUGGUGGCAGUUGAUCUUAGGAUCUAUGCCUACCAUGUCCUCAUGCCUCCAAGCAAAGACGUCAAGGUUCUUGCCUAGGAAGUCCUUAAUCUUUUCUCUCAAAAUAUUGGAUAGGCCUCUGCCUACUUUCAACACCUUGGACGGAUCUCGGGGGUCGGCUGGGAAGCUCUCAAGUUCCUCUACAGGGAAUGCUUGAGACUCAUGUUCCAUUAUGCAGGGGUCGAUCUCAUUAACGAUCAGCACCUCCUGAUUAAGCGGUGCGUCAAUCAUAUCAACAUCUUCCUGAUCAGUGGGAGCGUCACCUGGGACAUCCGCCACGACCAUAUCAGCCAUGAUCACGUGGACGUCCCGGGGCUCUACCUUCUUAAUGGAGCUUAGAUAGCACUCUCUCAAGCCUCUCUGGUCGCCUCUCACCGUUGCGACCCCAUUUUCUGUUGGGAAUUUCAUGCAUAGGUGGUGGAUGGAGGUGACUGCUCCCAAUUCCUUUAGGGCCGGUCUGCCCAAGACUCCGUGGUAAGCCGACCGGCUGUCAACUACGAGGAAUUCCAUGAAGUUCAUCGUAGUUUGAGGAGAUUCUCCCAUCUCUACUGCCAGUGUUAUCUUUCCCCUCGGAGUGAUGCUAUCUCCGGUAAAUCCAUACAAUGGAGUAGUGGUGGGCGUCAACUGAUGGUCCAAUAUCAUCUUGUCAAAGGCAGACCCGAAUAGGAUGUUGACGGAGCUGCCGCUGUCGGCUAGCGUUCGUUUGAGCCCAUUUCGGGCUAUGACAGCCCUCACCACCAGCGCAUCGCAGUGGGGGUAAUGAACUCCUUCGGCGUGUUCCUGGGUGAAGACAAUGGAUGGUACUUGGUUUCUUCGAGAGCUACUGUUCACAAUGUAACUCGUCAGAGGGGGGUGCUUAGCCUCCCUAGCAUAAUUUCUUUUGGCGUUUCGUGUUUCACCGCCAAUAUAAGGGCCUCCAAAUAUGGUAUCUAUCUCGUGGAUAGGGGCCUCAUCUCGAGCUUGCCUAUUUCUUCGGUGUCUACGCCCUUCCCUGGGCCUCUCUGUGUCUUGCUCUCUUCGCCUUGGGGAUACAUUUCUUUGACGAGGAGCGGCCGCCUCACGCCCAUGUUGGUUGUGCCUGGGCGGGGGCCUGUUCGCCUAGGGCGAGUCAUGUCUUUCUCUGGCGGGUUCCUGCCGGGAGCGGUGUGCAUAGUCUCUGCAAUGCGGUAUUGUGCCCGUAGGACCUGUGGUACAAACAGUAUCCUGAGAGGUUCGGAUUGGACCUAUUUCUAGGUGCAAAACCUCGGCCUCUCCCUCUACGGGGUCCCUGCUGGGCCUCCAUCUAAUGUGGGUCAGCAGUUGGGUUGACAUCCUCAUAUGCCAAGGUAGGGACCGCGUUCAGAGUUGUG